UGAGCCACCAAAUUGGUAUUAUGCAAACCCUAGCUACUGCUAUUCAAUAACAAUUUCUAUUUACAGCGUCGAAAAAAGGGCGUACCAGUUAACUGGUAUGCGGCGGGAAAGAGGGAUUGGAUCGGCAAAGAUUGGGGACUGCAACUGGGAGGGUUACAAAAUCCAAAACAUGCUUUCUAUCUAUGCGUGCGCUGUACUGAGGACUACAAUUAUAUCAAUUUUUA
RNAcentral lists this long non-coding RNA (224 nucleotides) under Citrus sinensis (sweet orange). RNAcentral's name for it is "long non-coding RNA (CSIN_LNC005724)". Lineage: Eukaryota; Viridiplantae; Streptophyta; Magnoliopsida; Sapindales; Rutaceae. The record is from RNAcentral.